Carya illinoinensis is the source of this 2109-nucleotide RNA transcript. It is a transcript of the gene named L-ascorbate oxidase homolog, with no coding region annotated. Lineage: Eukaryota; Viridiplantae; Streptophyta; Magnoliopsida; Fagales; Juglandaceae. The transcript has 4 exons. The record is from RefSeq and is a predicted model, not a curated record.
UGGGGUGGCCAGACCCGCUCAAGAAGAAGGCCAAGUAUCUUCUUCAAAAAUAGGCCACAUAUACGAGUAGAGAGAGAGAGAGAGAGAGAGAGAGAGAUGGGAGAAGGGACGUUCUCGUUGCUCGUCUGCCUCUUUGCAGCGGCAAUGUCAAUGGUACACGGUGAGGAUCCUUACCUCUUUUUCACAUGGAACGUUACCUACGGCACAAUUGCUCCACUUGGAGUCCCUCAACAAGGCAUUCUCAUAAACGGGCAAUUUCCCGGACCCAAUAUCAACUCCACUACCAACAACAACAUAAUCAUCAAUGUCUUCAACAACCUAGAUGAGUCAUUCCUGGUGACAUGGAACGGCAUCCAACAUAGGAAAAACUCUUGGCAAGAUGGUACACUAGGAACUAUGUGCCCAAUUCCCCCCAAGACAAACUACACCUAUCACUUCCAAGUCAAGGACCAAAUUGGAAGCUACAUCUACUACCCCACCACUGCCAUGCACAGGGCAGCUGGUGCCUUUGGUGGCCUCCGAGUGAACAGUCGCUUACUCAUUCCUGUCCCAUAUGCUGACCCCGAAGAUGAUUACACUGUCUUGAUUGGUGACUGGUACAUCAAAAGCCACUCUACCCUCAGGAAAAUCUUGGAUAGUGGCCGCUCCCUAGGUAGGCCAGAUGGUGUCCUCAUCAAUGGAAAAUCUGCCAAGGGCGACGGCAAGGAUGAGCCCUUGUUCCAUAUGAAGCCUGGCAAAACCUACAAAUACAGAAUAUGCAAUGUUGGCCUUAAGAAUUCCCUCAACUUCAGAAUCCAAGGCCACACCAUGAAGUUGGUGGAGAUGGAGGGCUCCCACACUGUCCAAAACACAUACCAAUCCCUUGACGUCCAUGUGGGACAAUGUUUCUCAGUUCUUGUCACUGCGGACCAAAAGCCGCAGGAAUACUUCAUGAUUGCCUCAACUCGGUUCACCAAGAGUGUGCUUACUGGUAAGGGUCUCAUCAGUUACACCAAUGGCAAGGGCCCAGCCUCACCUGAGAUCCCUGAGGCCCCUGUUGGUUGGGCCUGGUCCCUCAACCAAUUCCGCACCUUCCGUUGGAACCUCACUUCCAGUGCUGCCAGGCCUAACCCUCAAGGAUCCUUCCACUAUGGUGCCAUUAACAUCACCCGCACCAUCAAGCUCGUGAACACAGCCAGCAAAGUUGACGGCAAUCUUCGUUAUGCUGUAAAUGGCAUGUCCCACGUCGACCCUCCCACCCCGCUGAAGCUAGCAGAGUACUAUGGAGUCGCGGAUAAGGUCUUCAAAUAUAACAUCAUCUCUGACGAUCCACAAUCUCAAGGUGUAGAAGUUACCAAGGCACCGAUUGUCUUGAACACAACUUUCCGGAACUUUGUAGAGAUUAUCUUCGAGAACCACGAGAAGAGCAUACAAUCUUGGCAUUUGGAUGGAUACUCCUUCUUCGCAGUUGCCAUUGAGCCUGGGAGGUGGAACCCAGAACGUCGAAGGAAUUACAAUCUUCUUGACGCUGUAAGCAGGCACACAGUCCAAGUUUUUCCCAACUCAUGGGCAGCCAUUUUCUUGACAUUUGAUAAUCCCGGAAUGUGGAAUAUAAGGUCUGAGGUGGCAGAGAGGCGCUACCUCGGACAACAACUCUAUGUUAGCCUUUUGUCUCCUGCCCGCUCCCUUAGAGACGAGUACAACAUUCCUGACGAUGCCUUGCUUUGUGGCAUUGUAAAGGAUCUACCCAAGCCCCCACCGUACAGCAUCUAAGAUGAUCUACCCUCACGUCACGCCAUUUCAGUGAGAGUGAGAAGAAGAUAACGGGAGAGACCACCUAUCAUGUGUAUGAGAUGAGACACAUUUGAGUUAUGAAAUUCUGCUUGGACUACCAUCUCAGGGAAGUUCUGAUCAACCCAACUUCAUUUAUGCGAUCCUAGAAUUCCAAUCCAGAGGACUAAAAACCUUGACUAGUGGCCCUCGAACUGAUGGCCAACACAGCUAGCAUUCCUAAAGUCUUACGAAAUCAUAAAUUUUAUAUCCAUUCACUUUUAUAUAUUUCUUGUGCAUUUAUUAUUGUAAUUGUUUGCAUCACUUUUUUUUUUAAUAUAAAAUAAAAGUUUUGGCCAA